This 497-nucleotide ribosomal RNA is filed under the name uncultured bacterium. RNAcentral's name for it is "partial 16S ribosomal RNA". It matches the Rfam family "Bacterial small subunit ribosomal RNA", at positions 28 to 507 of the family's 1533-position model. The record is from RNAcentral.
GAUGAACGCUGGCGGCGUGCCUAAUACAUGCAAGUCGAGCGAACAGACGAGGAGCUUGCUCCUCUGACGUUAGCGGCGGACGGGUGAGUAACACGUGGAUAACCUACCUAUAAGACUGGGAUAACUUCGGGAAACCGGAGCUAAGACCGGAUAAUAUAUUGAACCGCAUGGUUCAAUAGUGAAAGACGGUUUUGCUGUCACUUAUAGAUGGAUCCGCGCCGCAUUAGCUAGUUGGUAAGGUAACGGCUUACCAAGGCAACGAUGCGUAGCCGACCUGAGAGGGUGAUCGGCCACACUGGAACUGAGACACGGUCCAGACUCCUACGGGAGGCAGCAGUAGGGAAUCUUCCGCAAUGGGCGAAAGCCUGACGGAGCAACGCCGCGUGAGUGAUGAAGGUCUUCGGAUCGUAAAACUCUGUUAUUAGGGAAGAACAAAUGUGUAAGUAACUAUGCACGUCUUGACGGUACCUAAUCAGAAAGCCACGGCUAACUACGUG